RNAcentral lists this ribosomal RNA (1300 nucleotides) under Calolamprodes beybienkoi. Its description in RNAcentral is "16S ribosomal RNA". The stretch from base 1054 to 1213 matches the Rfam family "Archaeal large subunit ribosomal RNA", at positions 2542 to 2701 of the family's 2987-position model. The record is from RNAcentral. Lineage: Eukaryota; Metazoa; Arthropoda; Insecta; Blattodea; Blaberidae.
UAUUAGAUAAAAUUUACUUUGUGAAUUUAUUAAUUAAUUUUUUUUGGAAAUCAUUUUUUGGUUGUUGUAUUAGUUAAAAAUUUAAUUUUUUUUGGUUAUUGUAGAUUUGUACUGUAAAGGUUUAUUGAAAUAGAAUUAAAUUAUUUUUAAAGUUGAAUUUUGAUUUGUACCUUGUGUUUCAGGGUUUAUUAAUUAUUUUAUAUUUAAUUGUAGAUUUCGAAAUUUUUAGAGUUAAUUAAUUAGAUUAAUUAUUGUUUUAACAAUAUUAAUAAUAGUUAAUUGGUAAUGAAAUGUUAUUCGUUAAUAAAGAUAUCUGGUUUUUCAGGAAAUAAAUUUAAUUUACAUUUUUUCUUUAAGGAUUUACUUUUUAGUGAAUUUUUAGUUAAAAUGAAUAUUAAGGGGGAUAAGCUUUUUAAUAAAACUUUUAUAAGUAGUUUGAUUAUGAAAUUGAUAUGGAUUUAAUAAUGAUUAUUAUUAUAAAUAUAUUAAAAUUUUAGUUUUAUUUAUUUUUUGAUUUUAUUGUACUUUAUUUUUUUACUGUAAUAUUUUAUUUAAUUUUAAAUUAAUUGUAAUUAUGAUAUGAUUAGUAUAAUUUUAUUAUUUAAUAUUUAUAUUUACUAAUAGUUAUGAGGAACUAGGCAAUAGUUUAUUCGCCUGUUUAACAAAAACAUCUUUUCUUGAUUUUUAAAUAUGAAGUAUAACCUGCCCACUGAUGAAAUUUAAUGGCCGCGGUAUAUUGACCGUGCAAAGGUAGCAUAAUCAUUAGUCUUUUAAUUAGAGGCUGGAAUGAAUGGUUGGACGAGAUAAAUACUGUCUUAUUAUUAUAAAUUUGAAUUUAAUUAUUAAGUAAGAAAGCUUAAAUUAAUUUUUGGGACGAGAAGACCCUAUAGAGUUUUAUAAUUAUAAAUUUAUUAAAUAGUAAGUUUUUAUUUAUAAUAGAAUAAUUAUUUUGUUGGGGUGAUGAAAAGAUAAAUAUAACUCUUUGUUGUUAUUAUUAUAUAUUUAUAUAUAUUUGAUCCAUUAAUAAUGAUUACAAGACUAAAUUACCUUAGGGAUAACAGCGUAAUCUUUUUUAAGAGUUCUUAUCAACAUAAGGGAUUGCGACCUCGAUGUUGGAUUAAGAUAAAUUUUUGGUGUAGAUGCUAAAAUUAUUAGGUCUGUUCGACCUUUAAAAUCUUACAUGAUCUGAGUUCAAACCGGCGUAAGCCAGGUUGGUUUCUAUCUAUUAACUUAUUAUAUGUUUUAGUACGAAAGGACCAAAUAUAAAAAAUAAUUUUUUGAUUUGAUUAAUAAUAAUUUA